GACAGAGGAUGCAAGCGUUAUCCGGAAUUACUGGGCGUAAAGGGCUCGUAGGCGGCCAACUAAGUCAUACGUGAAAUCCCUCAGCUUAACUGGGGAACUGCGUGUGAUACUGGAUGGCUUGGAUUUGGGAGAGGGAUGCGGAAUUCCAGGUGUAGCGGUGAAAUGCGUAGAUAUCUGGAGGAACACCGGUGGCGAAGGCGGCAUCCUGGACCAAUAUUGACGCUGAGGAGCGAAAGCCAGGGGAGCAAACGGG
This 253-nucleotide ribosomal RNA is filed under the name uncultured bacterium. RNAcentral describes it as "partial 16S ribosomal RNA". It matches the Rfam family "Bacterial small subunit ribosomal RNA", at positions 524 to 776 of the family's 1533-position model. The record is from RNAcentral.